UGUGAAUAGGUCGAGUGCUGCAGUCGACACACGAGUUAUUAGUAGACAUAGCCUUUGAUAACUGUAAGCCGUCGUGAGCACGCCGAAGAAAAGUUGAACGCUAACUAGGUGUCACGCCGAGAUUGUCCAUUCAAUCGACCGCAGCAUAGCGACCAAAAUCUGGUGGUUUUCUGCAAAGACAAAUUUAUUUAGGCUACUCUUCCUCCCAAGAAUUUAAAUAAAGUUAGACCUUUUGCACGUGUUCAACCUUGGAAAAGGUUGUAAUUUAUGCAAAGGUCACUGAUCUUAGAAAAUGCUAUUCACUUGCUCACCCAUCCCCCCUAAACAUUUAGAAUCUUAUGCAAAUGACAGCAGCAAAAUUGAAAACAGUGGCAGCUUAUUGUUUACCCUCCCUUUGUCUGGCAACUGAAAAUACCAAAUGAUUCGACAUAAAUGCCUAUUAGUUUCCAAGGCCAUUGUUUUGUAUGGCCUUGUAUGGCCUAAUGACAACCACCAAUAGCAUUGAAACACGUGAGAAAACAGGUCAAUGUACGACAGCUUGCAACGUCACCACCAGAAAAACAAAUGGCUGAACAUAAAACUGGAAAUAGUUUUUCCACCGCGUGCGUGCAAAAUAGAUCCCAUCCAUAUAUUUUUCUAACCGUUUUUCAAGUGAACGAGCCUAUCGCUGUGAAUUACAUUUUCGUGGGACAUCGCGAAAAGAAUAACGAUCUUUGGCAAUUGGAGAACGUGAUUAAAUUUAUUGAUCGUGUUACAUCGUAUACAGGCCGUCAUGAAAUGAAAUUAGUGGCAUGCUAAUAACAAUUAGUCUUCCCUGCUGGAACGAGUCCUGAUGGAAUAAUAAACAUUGACUUUAUGCAA
Molecule: long non-coding RNA, 861 nt
Filed under: Daphnia magna
Lineage: Eukaryota; Metazoa; Arthropoda; Branchiopoda; Diplostraca; Daphniidae
Description: uncharacterized LOC116933324, transcript variant X2
Source: RNAcentral